GUCACACAUGGUUAGCCUAGUGUGGUUUACAUCUCUCGUGUGGUUUGCAAGCUAUUAUACGAGAGUGUAGGUUUACCCAGUGCACCUAUAUGGUUGGCUGCGGGUUCCUUCAUUACCAAAAAAAAAAAAAAAAAAAAAUAAUUAUGAUUUGGUUUAUUCUCUUCAUAUAUUUAGCAAACUCACUAUUUGCCUCUCGGUAAGUUGUUUAUGUCCGCGCACACUUCUUUAGUUCUAAAGUCCAACUAAUGUCUUA
Molecule: long non-coding RNA, 253 nt
Filed under: Erythranthe guttata (spotted monkey flower)
Lineage: Eukaryota; Viridiplantae; Streptophyta; Magnoliopsida; Lamiales; Phrymaceae
Description: long non-coding RNA (EGUT_LNC000108)
Source: RNAcentral